ACGCUCGACACCUACGGAGGCAGCAGUUGGGAAUAUUGGACAAUGGAGGAAACUCUGAUCCAGUGACGCCGCGUGAAGGAAGAAGGUCUUCGGAUUGUAAACUUAUUUUGUCAGGGAAGAAAAAUGACUGUACCUGAAGAAAAAGCNCCGGCUAACUACGUGCCGACAGCCGCGGUAAUCUGAGCGGGCUGGCAAGGC
Molecule: ribosomal RNA, 198 nt
Filed under: uncultured bacterium
Lineage: Bacteria
Description: partial 16S ribosomal RNA
Rfam family: Bacterial small subunit ribosomal RNA
Source: RNAcentral